UCCACCUGUUCCCAUCUCGAACACAGUAGUUAAGCUCAUAAACGCCGAAAGUACUUGGCUGGAGACGGCCUGGGAGGAUAGGAAGCCGCUGAUU
Molecule: ribosomal RNA, 94 nt
Filed under: Veillonella parvula
Lineage: Bacteria; Bacillati; Bacillota; Negativicutes; Veillonellales; Veillonellaceae
Also listed under: 3 other names
Source: RNAcentral